RNAcentral lists this ribosomal RNA (593 nucleotides) under Lobocheilos melanotaenia. RNAcentral's name for it is "partial 16S ribosomal RNA". It matches the Rfam family "Bacterial large subunit ribosomal RNA", at positions 1810 to 2603 of the family's 2925-position model. The record is from RNAcentral. Lineage: Eukaryota; Metazoa; Chordata; Actinopteri; Cypriniformes; Cyprinidae.
AAAACAUCGCCUCCUGCAACACAACCAAGUAUAGGAGGUCCAGCCUGCCCAGUGACUACAAGUUCAACGGCCGCGGUAUUUUGACCGUGCAAAGGUAGCGCAAUCACUUGUCUUUUAAAUAGAGACCUGUAUGAAUGGCUAAACGAGGGCUUAACUGUCUCCCCUUUCAAGUCAGUGAAAUUGAUCUGCCCGUGCAGAAGCGGACAUAAUAAUACAAGACGAGAAGACCCUUUGGAGCUUAAGGUACAAAACUCAACCACGUCAAGCAACUCACUAAAAAGCAAAAACCUUGUGGAACAUGAAAUUUUACCUUCGGUUGGGGCGACCACGGAGGAAAACAAAGCCUCCAAGUGGACUGGGACAAACCUCCUAAAACCAAGAGAAACAUCUCUAAGCCACAGAACAUCUGACCAAACAUGAUCCGGCUGCUUAAAGCCGAUCAACGAACCAAGUUACCCUAGGGAUAACAGCGCAAUCCUCUCCCAGAGUCCAUAUCGACGAGGGGGUUUACGACCUCGAUGUUGGAUCAGGACAUCCUAAUGGUGCAGCCGCUAUUAAGGGUUCGUUUGUUCAACGAUUAAAGUCCUACGUGA